RNAcentral lists this ribosomal RNA (2903 nucleotides) under Bacillus cereus. Its description in RNAcentral is "bacterial LSU rRNA". It matches the Rfam family "Bacterial large subunit ribosomal RNA". The record is from RNAcentral. Lineage: Bacteria; Bacillati; Bacillota; Bacilli; Caryophanales; Bacillaceae.
CACGGUGGAUGCCUUGACACUAGGAGUCGAUGAAGGACGGGACUAACGCCGAUAUGCUUCGGGGAGCUGUAAGUAAGCUUUGAUCCGAAGAUUUCCGAAUGGGGAAACCCACCAUACGUAAUGGUAUGGUAUCCUUAUCUGAAUACAUAGGGUAAGGAAGACAGACCCAGGGAACUGAAACAUCUAAGUACCUGGAGGAAGAGAAAGCAAAUGCGAUUUCCUGAGUAGCGGCGAGCGAAACGGAACAUAGCCCAAACCAAGAGGCUUGCCUCUUGGGGUUGUAGGACAUUCUAUACGGAGUUACAAAGGAACGAGGUAGACGAAGCGACCUGGAAAGGUCCGUCGUAGAGGGUAACAACCCCGUAGUCGAAACUUCGUUCUCUCUUGAAUGUAUCCUGAGUACGGCGGAACACGUGAAAUUCCGUCGGAAUCUGGGAGGACCAUCUCCCAAGGCUAAAUACUCCCUAGUGAUCGAUAGUGAACCAGUACCGUGAGGGAAAGGUGAAAAGCACCCCGGAAGGGGAGUGAAAGAGAUCCUGAAACCGUGUGCCUACAAAUAGUCAGAGCCCGUUAACGGGUGAUGGCGUGCCUUUUGUAGAAUGAACCGGCGAGUUACGAUCCCGUGCGAGGUUAAGCUGAAGAGGCGGAGCCGCAGCGAAAGCGAGUCUGAAUAGGGCGUUUAGUACGUGGUCGUAGACCCGAAACCAGGUGAUCUACCCAUGUCCAGGGUGAAGUUCAGGUAACACUGAAUGGAGGCCCGAACCCACGCACGUUGAAAAGUGCGGGGAUGAGGUGUGGGUAGCGGAGAAAUUCCAAUCGAACCUGGAGAUAGCUGGUUCUCCCCGAAAUAGCUUUAGGGCUAGCCUUAAGUGUAAGAGUCUUGGAGGUAGAGCACUGAUUGGACUAGGGGUCCUCAUCGGAUUACCGAAUUCAGUCAAACUCCGAAUGCCAAUGACUUAUCCUUAGGAGUCAGACUGCGAGUGAUAAGAUCCGUAGUCAAAAGGGAAACAGCCCAGACCGCCAGCUAAGGUCCCAAAGUGUGUAUUAAGUGGAAAAGGAUGUGGAGUUGCUUAGACAACUAGGAUGUUGGCUUAGAAGCAGCCACCAUUUAAAGAGUGCGUAAUAGCUCACUAGUCGAGUGACUCUGCGCCGAAAAUGUACCGGGGCUAAAUACACCACCGAAGCUGCGGAUUGAUACCAAUGGUAUCAGUGGUAGGGGAGCGUUCUAAGGACAGUGAAGUCAGACCGGAAGGACUGGUGGAGUGCUUAGAAGUGAGAAUGCCGGUAUGAGUAGCGAAAGACGGGUGAGAAUCCCGUCCACCGAAUGCCUAAGGUUUCCUGAGGAAGGCUCGUCCGCUCAGGGUUAGUCAGGACCUAAGCCGAGGCCGACAGGCGUAGGCGAUGGACAACAGGUUGAUAUUCCUGUACCACCUCUUUAUCGUUUGAGCAAUGGAGGGACGCAGAAGGAUAGAAGAAGCGUGCGAUUGGUUGUGCACGUCCAAGCAGUUAGGCUGAUAAGUAGGCAAAUCCGCUUAUCGUGAAGGCUGAGCUGUGAUGGGGAAGCUCCUUAUGGAGCGAAGUCUUUGAUUCCCCGCUGCCAAGAAAAGCUUCUAGCGAGAUAAAAGGUGCCUGUACCGCAAACCGACACAGGUAGGCGAGGAGAGAAUCCUAAGGUGUGCGAGAGAACUCUGGUUAAGGAACUCGGCAAAAUGACCCCGUAACUUCGGGAGAAGGGGUGCUUUCUUAACGGAAAGCCGCAGUGAAUAGGCCCAAGCGACUGUUUAGCAAAAACACAGCUCUCUGCGAAGCCGUAAGGCGAAGUAUAGGGGGUGACACCUGCCCGGUGCUGGAAGGUUAAGGAGAGGGGUUAGCGUAAGCGAAGCUCUGAACUGAAGCCCCAGUAAACGGCGGCCGUAACUAUAACGGUCCUAAGGUAGCGAAAUUCCUUGUCGGGUAAGUUCCGACCCGCACGAAAGGUGUAACGAUUUGGGCACUGUCUCAACCAGAGACUCGGUGAAAUUAUAGUACCUGUGAAGAUGCAGGUUACCCGCGACAGGACGGAAAGACCCCGUGGAGCUUUACUGUAGCCUGAUAUUGAAUUUUGGUACAGUUUGUACAGGAUAGGCGGGAGCCUUUGAAACCGGAGCGCUAGCUUCGGUGGAGGCGCUGGUGGGAUACCGCCCUGACUGUAUUGAAAUUCUAACCUACGGGUCUUAUCGACCCGGGAGACAGUGUCAGGUGGGCAGUUUGACUGGGGCGGUCGCCUCCUAAAGUGUAACGGAGGCGCCCAAAGGUUCCCUCAGAAUGGUUGGAAAUCAUUCGUAGAGUGCAAAGGCAUAAGGGAGCUUGACUGCGAGACCUACAAGUCGAGCAGGGACGAAAGUCGGGCUUAGUGAUCCGGUGGUUCCGCAUGGAAGGGCCAUCGCUCAACGGAUAAAAGCUACCCCGGGGAUAACAGGCUUAUCUCCCCCAAGAGUCCACAUCGACGGGGAGGUUUGGCACCUCGAUGUCGGCUCAUCGCAUCCUGGGGCUGUAGUCGGUCCCAAGGGUUGGGCUGUUCGCCCAUUAAAGCGGUACGCGAGCUGGGUUCAGAACGUCGUGAGACAGUUCGGUCCCUAUCCGUCGUGGGCGUAGGAAAUUUGAGAGGAGCUGUCCUUAGUACGAGAGGACCGGGAUGGACGCACCGCUGGUGUACCAGUUGUUCUGCCAAGGGCAUAGCUGGGUAGCUAUGUGCGGAAGGGAUAAGUGCUGAAAGCAUCUAAGCAUGAAGCCCCCCUCAAGAUGAGAUUUCCCAUAGCGUAAGCUAGUAAGAUCCCUGAAAGAUGAUCAGGUUGAUAGGUUCGAGGUGGAAGCAUGGUGACAUGUGGAGCUGACGAAUACUAAUAGAUCGAGGACUUAACCAU